Molecule: ribosomal RNA, 466 nt
Filed under: uncultured Syntrophorhabdus sp.
Lineage: Bacteria; Pseudomonadati; Thermodesulfobacteriota; Syntrophorhabdia; Syntrophorhabdales; Syntrophorhabdaceae
Description: bacterial SSU rRNA
Rfam family: Bacterial small subunit ribosomal RNA
Source: RNAcentral
CCUACGGGGGGCUGCAGUGGGGAAUAUUGGGCAAUGGGCGAAAGCCUGACCCAGCGACGCCGCGUGGGUGAUGAAGGCCUUCGGGUUGUAAAGCCCUGUCAUGCGGAAAGAACGACCCUGAGACGCAUACUCUCAGGGAGUGACGGUACCGCAGGAGGAAGCACCGGCUAACUCCGUGCCAGCAGCCGCGGUAAUACGGAGGGUGCAAGCGUUGUUCGGAAUUAUUGGGCGUAAAGGGCGCGUAGGCGGUAAUGUAAGUCAGAUGUGAAAUACUCCGGCUCAACCAGAGAACAGCAUCUGAAACUGCAUAACUAGAGUACAGAAGAGGGAAACGGAAUUCCCGGUGUAGAGGUGAAAUUCGUAGAUAUCGGGAGGAACACCAGUGGCGAAGGCGGUUUCCUGGUCUGAUACUGACGCUGAGGCGCGAAAGCGUGGGGAGCAAACAGGAUUAGAUACCCCAGUAGUC